Molecule: long non-coding RNA, 4082 nt
Filed under: Homo sapiens (human)
Lineage: Eukaryota; Metazoa; Chordata; Mammalia; Primates; Hominidae
Description: HSALNT0275754
Source: RNAcentral
GGAAAGACCAGGGACAAUGAAAGUGGAGGAGCAGCCAGGAAAGGAGAAGCCACUGUGUCUGCAGGACAGGGGCUCCCAGAGCAAAGGGGAGAUAAAGGGGACACCUGUGACCUCAGGGAGGACACUGCACAUGGCAGGGACACCAUUUUAGCACAACUGGGUGUGUGAGGAGAGGGCACUGUGAGAAGUCAAGUGCCUGGAGCUGUGGCAGAGAAAGAGGCAGCAUCUGCAAGAGCUGAAGGUGUGAGAUCAUGGUCACUGGCUCCUGCUGCAUGUCAGCGUCUCCCUGUCACCCAGGCCCGCCCCAUCGCCAGGUGGCUUUGCCAGAUUCAUCUCUGAAACCACAACAAGUGCGUGGAGCAGCUAUUUGAGCACCAGGAAAGGAAAUUGUACGCAGUGGUUUGGGAUGGCCCCAGCAGAUGAAAUACAACAGUCAGUGUGAGACUCCUAUUUUUUCUCGGUGUCCCCUGGCAGGAUUCCAGACAGCCCCAAAUCUGAAGGGGCACAAACUUGAAAACAAAAAGAAGUCCAGAAAUCCCUCUUGUUCAGGAUUGAGGAUAGGAAAGGAAACUUCUUCGGCUCAAAGUGAAGGCUCAGUCCCCUACUCCACACCCCUGUUCUCAUCUCUCUUGCACCAGUGCCUCUCCCUGGGUUCACACUGAUAUCCUAUGGAUGGAGAUGAUAUUUCCUGCACCAGGUCACUCCACAGCCCCUGUUAACCUGAAGAGGUGCAGACCAGCACUGUUCAAUCACAGUAUGAUGAGCCUAAUGGGAAUCCCACUAGGCUAGUCUAGUCACCACAUUAGACAUAUAAAGAGAAGAAGGUAAAUGACUUCAAAUAAUAUAUUUUAUUUACCUAGCAUAUCAAAAAUAGUGCCAUUUUCAUAUGUAAUCUAAGUAUGAUUGUCAUGCAAUAUUUUAGAUACUUUUUCACAGCUAUUAUUACUAUUUUUUGAAGAAUCUUUAUGUGGAGAUUAUGUGGCUGAUGGAGAUGUGGAUGGGUUUCCUGUUCACAGGAUGAGAUGUAGUGGCUUUUUAAGUGACAACUUUGAUAGGCUGAAGAAGGGGUGAAAACAAUGAUUUUUUUGCACAGGAUAUACAGAUUGGAGGUGGGCAGUGUCCAUCCUGCAGCUCACCCUCUGGGUGCAUCUGUGGUCCCUGCAUGGGGCGAGGCUGCUCCUGCUGCCCCUGGAUUCCUGCAGGAGGAUCUGACUCCAACUCUCCCUCAGAACCCAGAGCAUCUGGCAUGUCAGUCUCCCUUUUCAUUUCACACAAAUGAAAAAAAAAACCACUCAGGUCUCGCUGGGCAUUUGCAGACUCGCAGUGGUAAUUUAAGAGUAAACUGAUGCUUUCUAGUGUACAGUGGCCUCUUCAGCUCCCUCAUGGCCCGUGUUGGGGAUGGCUGGUGAUCUUAGUUUGGGUUCCCUGGAAACAGACUCUGAGAUGGAGAAUAUCAUACACAGAUGAUUAAGAAAGUGAUGGAGGCAACACCAGGCAGAAGGAGGCCCUGACACAUAUUGAGGCUUCAGUCAGCCCUACAAGGAGCUAUGGAUCUUGGAGGAUUUUCAGGUCCUGUUAUACUGAGGAAGAGUCUUGAGACCUUGGCCACAGGCAGUCAUGAAACCAAACCUCCCUGAGAAGAGACAUAAACCUGGGGGAGGCAGAUUUCUGCACCGAACAGCUCUGAGCUGCCAGAAGCUCCCAGGAGUGCUGUGUGGGUGAGCUCAUAAGAGGGGAUCUGGGAGGAUCCCACAGUGUCCACUCCACUAGUUUUUCUGUAGAGAAUGACAGGAGCCUCAGCUGGGCAGUUCUGGGGACUGAUUCAGGACAUUUCGGCCAAGGACUGGCCUAUCACCACCUAUGGAAAUCCAGAGAUAACUGAGGAUAUUGACCUUGGUCUGCUUGGAAGAUCUAAUUUCCCUGAAUCACAGUGGAGUCCACAAAACCCCAAUACAUCCUGGUCACCUCAGCCCUAAAUCCAUUCUGGAUGCCCCCUCUGCACAGCCUGCCUGGAGGGCUGAAGGAAGUAAAGACUGGGGGUCUCAGAUCCAGGUGAACUGGGUCAUGCAUGCUCAUGGCUUUGUCCACAGUGUUGCCGGGCUGGAGGACGACAGCAGCACAGAUGGGGAAGGGGUCUGUGUCUUACUUCCUUGUCUGCCUCUGUCACUGUGUGCAGUGCCACUGCCCCACACCUGAGAGGAAAGCCUCGUCCCCAGCCUGGGCUCCACUGAUGGUCAGGGUGACCAUGUUCCCCGAGUUGGAGCUGGAGAAUCACUUAGAGAUCCCUGAAGGCCAUCUGCUAUCCCCAUAGAUGACCUGCACAAGGGCCUGGCCUGGUUUCUGCUGGUACCAUUAAGCAGGUUUAAUUCCAAUAUUAUUUCCCCUACAGGUGAUCCUGGGUGUCUGUCCUGGGGCCACUGACACUGAGGGUGGCUGUGUCAGCACAUAUGAGGCCACAGAGCCUGCAAGGAGAGAAAAGAGGAGCGAAAAGGCCUGAAACUCUGGGGAUUAACCAAAGAAUAUCUUGCCACUUGCCUGAACUGACCUGAGCCCCAGGAAUAAAAGUGCCCUUAGGGCACCAAGAGAACAGGAGCACAGUGUGGGGGGAUUUCUGCCCCACCAGCCCCCUGCCCUGCGGCAGGUUCAUGAGCAUCCUGCCCACCACAGGUAGGGCCCUACUGAGCUCAGUGUUAGGGCCAGGCUGGACCCAGAGGCCUGGGGCUGGGCAAGUGAGUGAGACCCUGGGGGCAGCACCUGUGCAGUGAGGGAGGAGGCCGAGGAGGAAAGGGGUCCAGGCCAUGGCUGAGGCACCCCCGAUGCUGCUUCCCAAGACCCAGGCUGAGCAGGUUCCUCCCAGGCCUCUCUUAUCCCCUUGCUGGAUAAAGCGGCCAUGAUGCAAAUCAGCAGAGUCAGGGGCUGCUGCUGGAGUAGCUCUGUGGUUUUUAGAGAAGGGCUCAGCCCCAAAGGGCCCAGGAAGGAGAGGAGUGGUCCCAGCAGACCCACUCUCAGCACACGGGUUUCUUCUUCCUCUCCUGGUUCUAUUCUGGGCCGACAUCUUCACCCCAAAUUGUGUCUCAAACUGGCUUUACUCCUGGGCUGUCCUGGCCCUAUAGAGCUCCGAGGUAAGUCUGUCUGCGUUUUUGGGCUCCAUUCUACAGGUGCCAAAACCAGGCUUUGAGAAGUUCUGGGUCUUGCUCUUGAGCACAGCUCCUGAGCUGCAGAACUUGAAUAAAAUUUCUCCCUUGCUAAGUGAACAUGGAGGUUUUUAAUAUCCAUGAAGCUUGUAUAAGUUUUUGCCCUUGGUGGAGCUUCAGGGGAAGGCCCUAGGAGCUGUGCCUCAGUGUCCCCACUAUGCGUUUAGGGCCAGGUACAAAUCUGCUGCUCUGAAAGUGUUUGACAGAUCCAGAGUUUUAGCAUAAUUGGGUGGGCUGGGAUGCAAUGUAGUAUAAGACUUGAACUUGUUGCUGUGAAAUAAGCAAAUUCUAAAAGAGCCAGAUGUAAGAGACAUGGGGCAAAAGAGUUUGUACAUCAAUGUUAACGAUGAUACUCUAGAAAAAGAAGGACAUUUUUCCCCCCAGUGUUAGGUCAUGGUCACUGACCCUCCCUGCAUGUCAGCAUCUCCCUGACAUGCAGGUCCAGCCCAGCUCCAGGCGGCUUUGCCAUGUGACUCUCUGUUGACCACUGCUGGUUGCUCUUCACUGACUGCUGGAGGCUCAGACACCACCUUGGUCUAGGUGUAGAUUCAGAAAUUACUCCUCAGGUCUAGGAUUUCUUGAUCCCUGAACUGCUGGCCCAAAGGGAGGAAUUAUUCUUCUCUGUGUGGCCUGUCUGCCUUACGACCAAGCAGGAGGUGCUCAGUUCCCAAGAAAAUGCAAACAUGCUUCACCAGGGGCGGAAUAUGCAGGAGCCACCUGAGGCAUCUCUGCACAUUUCAUUCAGAAAUGUCUUGACAUUUUCAGUGUACAAGAAGUUCAUCUUCUUGGAUAAAUUUAUUUGUAUUCUUUUUGGUGGUCUUGUAAAUAGAGUUACUUUUAAAACUUCUUUUUCAGAUGUUCAUUGCUGGUGCAUAUAAAAUAUGAAUG